RNAcentral lists this ribosomal RNA (253 nucleotides) under uncultured bacterium. RNAcentral's name for it is "partial 16S ribosomal RNA". It matches the Rfam family "Bacterial small subunit ribosomal RNA", at positions 524 to 776 of the family's 1533-position model. The record is from RNAcentral.
UACGGGGGGGGCAAGCGUUGUUCGGAAUUACUGGGCGUAAAGGGCGCGUAGGCGGCCUGCUAAGUCGAACGUGAAAUCCCUGGGCUCAACCCAGGAACUGCGUCCGAUACUGGUUGGCUUGAAUCCGGGAGAGGGAUGUGGAAUUCCAGGUGUAGCGGUGAAAUGCGUAGAUAUCUGGAGGAACACCGGUGGCGAAGGCGACAUCCUGGACCGGUAUUGGCGCUGAGGCGCGAAAGCCAGGGGAGCAAACGGG